GACGAACGCUGGCGGCGUGCUUAACACAUGCAAGUCGAACGGAAAGGCCCUGCUUGCAGGGUACUCGAGUGGCGAACGGGUGAGUAACACGUGGGUGAUCUGCCCUUCACUUCGGGAUAAGCCUGGGAAACUGGGUCUAAUACCGGAUAGGAGCCAUUUUUAGUGUGAUGGUUGGAAAGUUUUUUCGGUGUAGGAUGAGCUCGCGGCCUAUCAGCUUGUUGGUGGGGUAAUGGCCUACCAAGGCGGCGACGGGUAGCCGGCCUGAGAGGGUGGACGGCCACAUUGGGACUGAGAUACGGCCCAGACUCCUACGGGAGGCAGCAGUGGGGAAUAUUGCACAAUGGGCGCAAGCCUGAUGCAGCGACGCCGCGGGGGGGAUGACGGCCUUCGGGUUGUAAACUCCUUUCGCUAGGGACGAAGCUUUUUGUGACGGUACCUAGAUAAGAAGCACCGGCUAACUACGUG
Molecule: ribosomal RNA, 465 nt
Filed under: uncultured bacterium
Lineage: Bacteria
Description: partial 16S ribosomal RNA
Rfam family: Bacterial small subunit ribosomal RNA
Source: RNAcentral